UGGGGAAUUUUGGACAAUGGGCGAAAGCCUGAUCCAGCAAUGCCGCGUGUGUGAAGAAGGCCUUCGGGUUGUAAAGCACUUUUGUCCGGAAAGAAAUGGCUCUGGUUAAUACCUGGGGUCGAUGACGGUACCGGAAGAAUAAGGACCGGCUAACUACGUGCCAGCAGCCGCGGUAAUACGUAGGGUUCAAGCGUUAAUCGGAAUUACUGGGCGUAAAGCGUGCGCAGGCGGUUGUGCAAGACCGAUGUGAAAUCCCCGAGCUUAACUUGGGAAUUGCAUUGGUGACUGCACGGCUAGAGUGUGUCAGAGGGGGGUAGAAUUCCACGUGUAGCAGUGAAAUGCGUAGAGAUGUGGAGGAAUACCGAUGGCGAAGGCAGCCCCCUGGGAUAACACUGACGCUCAUGCACGAAAGCGUGGGGAGCAAACAGG
This 429-nucleotide ribosomal RNA is filed under the name Acidobacteriota bacterium. RNAcentral's name for it is "Acidobacteria bacterium partial 16S ribosomal RNA". It matches the Rfam family "Bacterial small subunit ribosomal RNA", at positions 355 to 776 of the family's 1533-position model. Lineage: Bacteria; Pseudomonadati; Acidobacteriota. The record is from RNAcentral.